GUCGAGCGGACAGAAGGGAGCUUGCUCCCGGAUGUUAGCGGCGGACGGGUGAGUAACACGUGGGUAACCUGCCUGUAAGACUGGGAUAACUCCGGGAAACCGGAGCUAAUACCGGAUAGUUCCUUGAACCGCAUGGUUCAAGGAUGAAAGACGGUUUCGGCUGUCACUUACAGAUGGACCCGCGGCGCAUUAGCUAGUUGGUGGGGUAAUGGCUCACCAAGGCGACGAUGCGUAGCCGACCUGAGAGGGUGAUCGGCCACACUGGGACUGAGACACGGCCCAGACUCCUACGGGAGGCAGCAGUAGGGAAUCUUCCGCAAUGGACGAAAGUCUGACGGAGCAACGCCGCGUGAGUGAUGAAGGUUUUCGGAUCGUAAAGCUCUGUUGUUAGGGAAGAACAAGUGCGAGAGUAACUGCUCGCACCUUGACGGUACCUAACCAGAAAGCCACGGCUAACUACGUGCCAGCAGCCGCGGUAAUACGUAGGUGGCAAGCGUUGUCCGGAAUUAUUGGGCGUAAAGGGCUCGCAGGCGGUUUCUUAAGUCUGAUGUGAAAGCCCCCGGCUCAACCGGGGAGGGUCAUUGGAAACUGGGAAACU
RNAcentral lists this ribosomal RNA (598 nucleotides) under Bacillus pumilus. RNAcentral's name for it is "bacterial SSU rRNA". It matches the Rfam family "Bacterial small subunit ribosomal RNA", at positions 61 to 642 of the family's 1533-position model. Lineage: Bacteria; Bacillati; Bacillota; Bacilli; Caryophanales; Bacillaceae. The record is from RNAcentral.